Regulatory RNA element from Providencia sneebia DSM 19967, 119 nucleotides. It matches the Rfam family "Phenylalanine leader peptide". Lineage: Bacteria; Pseudomonadati; Pseudomonadota; Gammaproteobacteria; Enterobacterales; Morganellaceae. The record is from Rfam.
AAUGAAUACGAAUUUUGUUUUCUUUUUUUUCUUUAGUCACUUUUAUUAGGGGCUGCUGUCGUUCGAGAAAGAAAAGAAGACACAAUUUUAAAGCCCCCUACUUAGGGGGCUUUUUUAUU